UCUCAUAUGGUAACUUUAUUU
This 21-nucleotide non-coding RNA is filed under the name Caenorhabditis elegans. The record is from RNAcentral. Lineage: Eukaryota; Metazoa; Nematoda; Chromadorea; Rhabditida; Rhabditidae.